AUGAAUUGGCUAUAGUGACUGGAGUCCCCUGGCUAAGCAGUGUUUAACCAUUUUCAAGCUGUUUAACACAGAAUAAGGGCCCCCCGCAACUCCCACUGUCCAUACCCCACCUGAGGUUUGGUUUACGCAGAGAUUACACUGUCCUUCAAGCUACACCAAUUCAUGCCAGCAUUUGGCACUGUGAUAGGCUGAAAACUGACACAGCCAAUCAAAAGUACCCAUUGCAACUCAGGCUAAUGCUUCCUCUUUAGACUGAGCAGCACAAAGUUGAUGGGCUGGUAUGGAG
Pelobates cultripes (western spadefoot toad) is the source of this 286-nucleotide non-coding RNA. Lineage: Eukaryota; Metazoa; Chordata; Amphibia; Anura; Pelobatidae. The record is from the annotation of a GenBank genome assembly.